AUUUAAAUGGCCGCAGUAUUUUGACUGUGCAAAGGUAGCAUAAUCAUUAGUUUCUUAAUUAGGAACUUGUAUGAAUGGUUGGAUGAGAAAUAAUCUGUCUCUACAUAAUUUAAUUAGAAUUUUAUUUUUAAGUUAAAAAGCUUAAAUUUUUAUUAUAGACGAGAAGACCCUAUAGAGUUUUAUUUAUUUAUUUAUUUAAUUUAUAAAGUAUUAAUAAUUUAUUUAUUUAAGUAAAUUUUGUUGGGGUGACAGGAAAAAUUAUUUAACUUUUUUUUUAAUAUACAUUUAUUUAUGAUUUGUUGAUCCAAUAUUUUUGAUUAUAAGAUUAAAUUACCUUAGGGAUAACAGCGUAAUUUUUUUUGAGAGUUCUUAUCGAAAAAAAAGUUUGCGACCUCGAUGUUGGAUUAAAAUUUAGGGUUGGCGUAGAAGUUAAUCUUUUAAGUCUGUUCGACUUUUAAAAUUUUACAUGAUCUGAGUUUAAACCGGUGUGAGCCAGGUUGGUUUCUAUCUUAAUUAAGUUAAAAUAUUUUAGUACGAAAGGACCAAUUAUUUAUAUAAAAUAUUAAUUUUUGAAUAAUUAUGUUACUUUGGCAGAUUAGUGCAUUAAAUUUAGAAUUUAAUUAUGUAUAAUUAUACAGGUAAUACUUGAUUUUGUUUGAUUUUUUAUUAUUAUUAGUUAGAGGAUUAAUUUUAGUAGUCUGUGUAUUGGUAGGUGUA
This 717-nucleotide ribosomal RNA is filed under the name Oocyclus sapphirus. RNAcentral's name for it is "partial 16S ribosomal RNA". The stretch from base 1 to 546 matches the Rfam family "Bacterial large subunit ribosomal RNA", at positions 1921 to 2925 of the family's 2925-position model. The record is from RNAcentral. Lineage: Eukaryota; Metazoa; Arthropoda; Insecta; Coleoptera; Hydrophilidae.